CAGGCAGCAGAGAAAAGGAUUGGAAAUGCUGACAUGUUGCCUGGUUCCCUCAAAUAAUAAUAUGAUGAUGAUGAUUUUGUAAGAGCCAACGCCAUCAACGUUGUUGGAGCGGGUUCUCAGACAAAAGGGCUGUUCUGAAGCAUGACUGAGCCUGGGUUCUUCCCAGCUCCGGAUCUUUCUGUGAAUGGUUCCCCACUGCCUUCUGGAUAAGGUCUGAAUUCCACUGCUUGGCUGUCAAGGCCUUGCCCUGAUUAGCACCCACUGACAUCCAACCACACUUGCCAUCUUACAACCAGAAUGCUUCACCCACCUGACUCCAGCUUGCCGAAGUCCACCCCCAGCACCCGGCUGCAUGCCAUUCCUCUGAGGGGCAUGAACUGUGCGCACCCACCCUGACACACCCGGCUCCACUGAACUGUCCUGUCUCAGAACACAAAGUCUUCCCCAACCGGCAAGGAUGGGGCCCUCUUGGUACCAGGAAACUACAGGAAAGCAGUGCCCAGGUUCAUAUCCCCAGUGCCCUCGCUCAGGACUGAUACCCAAGCAACCCUGCUGUGUUCUCAGCACCCUGUACCAGACCCAGACAUACGCAAUACCCAACAAAUACAUGUGCAGUGAAUGAAACCA
Suricata suricatta (meerkat) is the source of this 627-nucleotide long non-coding RNA. RefSeq lists it as uncharacterized. NCBI's taxonomy places the organism in Eukaryota, Metazoa, Chordata, Mammalia, Carnivora, Herpestidae. The transcript is spliced from 3 exons. The record is from RefSeq and is a predicted model, not a curated record.